Molecule: transfer RNA, 76 nt
Filed under: Candidatus Magasanikbacteria bacterium RIFCSPHIGHO2_02_FULL_44_13
Lineage: Bacteria; Candidatus Magasanikiibacteriota
Also listed under: 3 other names
Description: tRNA-Pro
Rfam family: tRNA
About the family: Transfer RNA (tRNA) molecules are approximately 80 nucleotides in length. Their secondary structure includes four short double-helical elements and three loops (D, anti-codon, and T loops). Further hydrogen bonds mediate the characteristic L-shaped molecular structure. tRNAs have two regions of fundamental functional importance: the anti-codon, which is responsible for specific mRNA codon recognition, and the 3' end, to which the tRNAs corresponding amino acid is attached (by aminoacyl-tRNA synthetases). tRNAs cope with the degeneracy of the genetic code in two manners: having more than one tRNA (with a specific anti-codon) for a particular amino acid; and 'wobble' base-pairing, i.e. permitting non-standard base-pairing at the 3rd anti-codon position.
Source: RNAcentral
CGGGCUAUAGCGCAGUUGGUAGCGCGCAUCGUUCGGGACGAUGAGGCCGUGGGUUCAAGUCCCACUAGCCCGACAA